UUUGUUUUGGGUUUCUGUGGUUUUGGUUUCGUUUGCUCUCUCUCCCUUCUUCUCUGUUGUUCUCUCUACCAGAAACCCUUCGUUCUCCAUUUGCCGUUAUCGUCCAACUCCGAUUUAGCUACCCUUCGUGAACUCCAUCUACUUUAACUUCCCUGCAUAUCUUUCUCUCCGAAGCUCCAAAUUCUUGGUCAAAUAGAACAUCGAACUCCUAGGUGGUCACCAGCUCCAGUUCGAGGUCGAGAAGCACUCGGUCACCGACGUUCCCGACGCCAAGAUUUCGUAAGGUCUCAAUAUCGAAGAAGAUUUCUUAUGCUCUUUGUCAACGAUGACGACCUGACGCAGAUUCUGUCCCGAUUUGAAGAAAAUUCUUCAAGUGGCUAUGAAUUCACGAUCACCAGCAAUAAUCUCAUCAAGGUCCCAGGAGGAAUCACGAGAAUUCACUAUCGAAUUGCAUGGUGUUAAAUAUAGUUUCCCAGCUGUAAUCGUUUUGAAUUGGCGCUUAACGAAGCUGUUAUUUUGUCUUCGUAAUCAAAUGCUUCGUAUUACUGUCUGAUUUUGUUCUUCUUCACUUUCAAGAACCACCGCUGUUUAUUGAAGAUCUUACCAGCAUAUUUAAAGUGUUCUCACCACAACUUCUGCUAUAUCCCAAUCCCUCUGACCCUUUAAACAGAGAGGUUACAACUUUAAUGAUGAGUUACCGAGUUGUUUAUCAACAAAGAGUUAAAGAAUUACAAGAAGGAUUACAAAAAAUCACCUAAUGCUUUGGAAAAAUCCCUUGGUGAUUCUAUUUGGUAAGCUUUAAAAAGCCUCAUCUUUUUAUUGCUUGGUUAUUUUCCCCUUAAUAUGCAUUUGUCCUGUUUGUACGUUUGAUACAAAUCUGUCUUCUUAUUAUUUUACUGUCAUCUGUGAGGAUUGUUUUUUGCUACUUCCGUAAUGUUUUGCAGUAUGCAUACAUAGAUGACAGAUUUCAUAUCACCUACAUGCCUCCAACUAUGGCACAUCGGUGAUGUGUUGCUUGCCUCCGCUUCUGAUCAGCAGCAGUCUUCUUCCGUUGUUGCCAAGUUGGUUCUCUCUUUUGACCCUAUUGCCGAGGUCAGAGAGGUACGUUUCUUUUUCUUCUUCUUCUUUGUACAUUUAUAUAUAUAUAUAUAUAUAUACACUCACAUUGAAUUGUCAUCGUUUUGGCGUUUUGGGUUUUAUGUUCUUCCAUGCAUUGUCGUUUCGGGCCGUGAUCUUUGUUUGUUUCUUAAUCUUUUACUUUUUUUAUCCUGAUUUCUCGGUUAUGGGUGAAGCAGAAAAAUAUCGUUCGUAAAUUAUUAUUUCAAUUAUUGGAAUUAUAUGAGGAUUUAAAUGAUUAUGGUUAAAUGGGUAAAUGAGUAUGGUUAAAUGGAUACACGGUUAUGAGUAUGGAUAACCGUUUAUAAACGGUUAUGGUUCUGAGUAUGACCAUUUAUAUAAUUACCCAACGGGUAAAUGGUUAUGCGGGUAUGAACAUAAACGGUCAUGGAUAAAUAACCGUGGUUACCCGUCCGCUAUAACAGUUGUCCAUCCCUAGUUGUGAUGAAUACUUAUUUUAACAAACUUAUCAAAUUUUGGAUACUUUAUGAAUUUAAGAUCAUCAGUUUUAGUACGUAUAUUUUUUGAAAUUGUAAUGAAUUUGCAAAUUUUUCAACUGUAUCUUACAUUUAUGGUUCCAAAUUCACCUUACCCAUAACUAUUGAAUUUUGUCUCUCGAUUGGAUCAAUUUUUAUAGUUUCCACAAUCUACCGUUGCAAUGCCUUUGAUGGAUAAAGCACAGACGACCCAACUACUCUUAUACAGCUUCUUUAGCAUCUUAAGUUAAAAUUCCAUAUCAUUUUUUUGCUUCACAGAUUUCAUUAUGUUAACAGCAUACCAAUUAUGUGAUAGCAAUUGUUAUCCUAGCAGUUUCUAACAAUUGGUAAAAAACGCAUAAAUGUGUGCAAGUUUGAAUUAUUCAUACGAAACUUUCAUAUAUUA
Malus domestica (apple) is the source of this 1998-nucleotide non-coding RNA. Lineage: Eukaryota; Viridiplantae; Streptophyta; Magnoliopsida; Rosales; Rosaceae. The record is from RefSeq and is a predicted model, not a curated record.